UGCGUAGGUGGCGUGUUAAGUCAGAUGUGAAAGCCCGGGGCUCAACCUCGGAACUGCAUCCGAUACUACCAUGCUAGAGUACUGAAGAGGAAACUAGAAUUCUCGGUGUAGCAGUGAAAUGCGUAGAUAUCGAGAGGAAUACCAGAGGCGAAGGCAGGUUUCUUGGCAGUUACUGACACUGAGGCGCGAAAGCGUGGGGAGCAAACAGGAUUAGAUACCCCUGUA
This 225-nucleotide ribosomal RNA is filed under the name uncultured Prosthecobacter sp. RNAcentral describes it as "partial 16S ribosomal RNA". It matches the Rfam family "Bacterial small subunit ribosomal RNA", at positions 568 to 792 of the family's 1533-position model. The record is from RNAcentral. Lineage: Bacteria; Pseudomonadati; Verrucomicrobiota; Verrucomicrobiia; Verrucomicrobiales; Verrucomicrobiaceae.